CAAGGCUUGACAUACACCGGAAACGGCCAGAGAUGGUCGCCCCCUUGUGGUCGGUGUACAGGUGGUGCAUGGUUGUCGUCAGCUCGUGUCGUGAGAUGUUGGGUUAAGUCCCGCAACGAGCGCAACCCUUGUUCUGUGUUGCCAGCGAGUAAUGUCGGGGACUCACAGGAGACUGCCGGGGUCAACUCGGAGGAAGGUGGGGACGACGUCAAAUCAUCAUGCCCCUUAUGUCUUGGGCUGCACACGUGCUACAAUGGUCGGUACAAAGGGCUGCGAUGCCGCGAGGCGGAGCGAAUCCCAAAAAGCCGGCCUCAGUUCGGAUUGGGGUCUGCAACUCGACCCCAUGAAGUUGGAGUUGCUAGUAAUCGCAGAUCAGCAUGCUGCGGUGAAUA
This 392-nucleotide ribosomal RNA is filed under the name uncultured Streptomycetaceae bacterium. RNAcentral describes it as "bacterial SSU rRNA". It matches the Rfam family "Bacterial small subunit ribosomal RNA", at positions 975 to 1368 of the family's 1533-position model. Lineage: Bacteria; Bacillati; Actinomycetota; Actinomycetes; Kitasatosporales; Streptomycetaceae. The record is from RNAcentral.